AAAAAAAAAAAAAGUGUUUAGUUAUUAGCUCUGAAGAAAUGUUAUUGAUAUCAAAUUCCGGAUGUCGAGUAGAACAGAUAUAUGUAUUACAGUGCUUGGUUUAAAUAGUCCAGACCGCGUAUUUAAUACAAUAAAUAAUAAAUAUACAAUACAUACGGUUACAAUUGUGUUGAACCGAGUUGGUAUGCCAGUAGACGACACCUUGAUACGCAGAAUAACAAAGUUUACGGAUCGAUUAAGUUACUUAGCAAAGUAAAGUACUCUGUUAGCCAAGUUGAAGGCCAUGAGAUUCCUACCGAGCAGUUUCACCUACACAGAUCUCUUCUCAGAAUUAAUUACUUUUGAAAUGAGGAGACGACGGAUAUAGGAGGAAAGUUCAAAAUGCUAUCUGGUACGUGUCGACAUGAGGUGGUCGACAUGGGUUGAUUGAAACCAGAUCUCGUAUACCAAGCUGAGCUUUAACUUCAACUUUAAAUAAAUGCUCUGAAUAAGAAAAAAAGCGGCAUUAAAAUUUAUAUGUAACCUAUCAUAAUAAUAAUAUUAAAAAAUUAAUGUAUUUUCACAUGGGACUCAAAAUAACGUGGCCAGCAGAGUAUGGUACGUGGUACAUGUGUGUAUGCUGAUGCUGAUGAAAGAAGGCCCGCGAGCGAUAGAAAUAGGAAGAGAAGGAACAACCGUUCCCGUGAGAGCGGGUGUGCACACGUUUUUGUGUAUACAUUGUUUCGUCGAACCAAAAGGAAUAUAACUACUAAGCGUGGAGAGCUCUUUGGGUACGCGUUUCGCCCGUAAAAUCUGACCCAGCCCGCAUCGAGGUACAUAGGGUUCAACGAGAGCACAAGCAAGACAGCGACAUGCAUCGAGGUGUACACAGACCUCGGGCUGUUGCCCAUAUGGUGACCAAGGCCCCUGGGUAUACAUACUACAGGGUCUAUAGGUGAACACACGUUCCGUUUCCCGUGCUCAAUUUACUCAAUGUACAUCUCUCUCCCUUUGCUUUUUGUCUCGCUAACCUCUCGAGUCGCCCUCUCUCGAAUCAUUCAAUCUGUCGACCCCCGUGUGCGAAUUUUUAUAUCGAUUCACCUGGUACACAAUGUGUACUUUAUAUUUAC
Molecule: long non-coding RNA, 1109 nt
Organism: Cotesia glomerata
Lineage: Eukaryota; Metazoa; Arthropoda; Insecta; Hymenoptera; Braconidae
Exons: 3
Source: RefSeq, a predicted model, not a curated record